UGAGGAAUAUUGCACAAUGGGGGCAACCCUGAUGCAGCAACGCCGCGUGAGUGAUGAAGCAGUUUAUCUGUGUAAAGCUCUGUUGGGAGGGACGAAAUGACUGGCUAGUUGCCGGUUUUGACGGUACCUCCUGAGGAAGCUCCGGCUAACUCCGUGCCAGCAGCCGCGGUAAUACGGGGGGAGCGAGCGUUGUCCGGAUUUAUUGGGCGUAAAGGGCAUGUAGGUGGUUUUUUAAGUCAGUUGUUAAACUUAUCGGCUUAACCGGUACUUGCAAUUGAUACUGGAGGACUUGAAUCUGAGAGGGGAUAGUGGAAUAUCAAGUGUAGCGGUGGAAUGCGUAGAUAUUUGAUAGAACACCUGAGGUGCAGACGACUAUCUGGCUCAUGAUUGACACUGAGAUGCGAAAGUAUGGGGAGCAAACA
This 422-nucleotide ribosomal RNA is filed under the name uncultured prokaryote. Its description in RNAcentral is "bacterial SSU rRNA". It matches the Rfam family "Bacterial small subunit ribosomal RNA", at positions 355 to 774 of the family's 1533-position model. The record is from RNAcentral.